RNAcentral lists this ribosomal RNA (1374 nucleotides) under metagenome. Its description in RNAcentral is "bacterial SSU rRNA". It matches the Rfam family "Archaeal small subunit ribosomal RNA". The record is from RNAcentral.
ACCCGUUGAUCCUGCGGGAGAUUGCUGCUAUGAGGGUUCGACUUAGCCAUGCAAGUCUAGGGGGUCUUCGGGCCACCGGCGAAAUGCACAGUAACACGUUGAUAAUCUGCCCUUUGGUCUGGAAUAACCUUGGGAAACUGAGGCUAAUACCGGAUAGGGAAACUGUUCUGGAAAGAGGUUUCUUGAAAGAUUACGCCAAAGGAUGAGUCAGCGGCGGAUUAGGUUGAUGGUGGGGUAAAGGCCUACCAUGCCGACGAUCCGUACGGGCCUUGAAAGAGGGAGCCCGGUGAGGGGAACUGAGAUACUGUCCCCAGCCCUACGGGGUGCAGCAGGCACGAGAACUUUACAAUGCACGAAAGUGUGAUAAGGGAACCCUCAGUGCUCAUGUCUAACAUGGGCUUUUGCCAAGUGUAAAUAGCUUGGCGAAUAAGGGGUGGGCAAGACUGGUGCCAGCCGCCGCGGUAACACCAGCGCCUCAAGUGGGAAUCGGUAUUAUUGGGCCUAAAGCGUCCGUAGCCUGUUUGGCAAAUCUUUUGUGAAAUUGUCGGGCCUAACUUGACAACGUGCAGAAGACACUACCAGACUAGAGACCGGGAGGAGUCAGAAGUAUGUCGGGGGGAGCGGUAAAAUGUUGUGAUCCUCGAUAGACUACCUAUGGCGAAGGCAUCUGACCAGAACGGAUCUGACGAUGAGGGACGAAAGCCAGGGGAGCGAACCGGAUUAGAUACCCGAGUAGUCCUGGCCGUAAACGCUGCGAGUUAGAUGUUGCGGAUGCUACGCGCAUUCGCAGUAUUGAAGGGAAGCCGUUAAACUCGCCGCCUGGGAAGUACGGUCGCAAGGCUGAAACUUAAAGGAAUUGGCGGGGAAGCACACAAACGGUGCGGCGUGCGGUUUAAUCUAACUCCACUCAGAGAAUCUCACCAGGAGCGACGGCAGGAUGACAGUCAGUCUAAAGGGCUUACUUGACGAGCCGAGAGGUGGUGCAUGGCCGCCGUCAGCUCGUGCCAUAAGGUGUCCUCUUAAGUGAGGUAACGAGCGAGAUCUAUGCCUACAAUUGCCAGCGGGUCCUCAGGGACGACUGGGCACAUUGUAGGGACUGCCUUCGAAAGGAGGAGGAAGGUGUAGGCUACGGUAGGUCUGUAUGCCCCGAAUCUUCUGGGCUACACGCGCGCAACAAUGGUAGGGACAAUGGGCUGCGACUCCGAAAGGAGAAGCUAAUCCUUCAAACCCUAUCUCAGUACGGAUCGAGGAUUGUAACUCAUCCUCGUGACGCCGGAAUCGUUAGUAAUCGGGUGUUAUCAGCGCCCGGUGAAUAAGUCCCUGCUUCUUGCACACACUGCCCGUCAUACCACUCGAGUUGGGUUCGUGUGAGGU